This 1074-nucleotide ribosomal RNA is filed under the name Cymothoa indica. RNAcentral's name for it is "16S ribosomal RNA". The stretch from base 683 to 1010 matches the Rfam family "Archaeal large subunit ribosomal RNA", at positions 2147 to 2719 of the family's 2987-position model. Lineage: Eukaryota; Metazoa; Arthropoda; Malacostraca; Isopoda; Cymothoidae. The record is from RNAcentral.
UGGAAGAGUUGAGGUUUUGUGUGAUGGAUCCGUAGGGGUUGUGGAGAUAUUAAGAAGAAAAUACUUUUGGUAUCAAGGAGAUUCAAAAUUUUGUUUGGAGCAGGUCCCGAAUUCAAUAGAGCUAUCUCUAAGUCAGGUUGUUUGUUGAAGUAAACAUCUAUAAGUUUUAGAUAGUGAGGAUAUCUUAGUCAAGAUUGAUUUAUCUGGUUAUCUAUAAAUAGUUAAUCUAUUUUUGCAAGUAUUGUAGUUUUUACUAAGGGUUUAAGUUCUUAGGUUUUAUGUUAAUGAUAUAGGUUUGUUAGUUAGAGGAGGUUUUGCUGGGUUAUUUUUAUUGUUUAUUUAUUUAUUUAUUACUGAUAAUUUUUAUCUUCAGAUGAUAAUGGAUUUAUUAGUAUUAGGAUUUAAGGUAUUUAUAUUGGAAUAUAUGUUUAUAAAUUGAGUUUGGAGUAGUAAAUGAACUAGGCAAUUAGAUAUUUGACUGUUUAACAAAAACAUUUCUUUUUAUAUGAAUUAAAAGGUAGUCCCUGCUCAAUGUGAAGUAAAUGGCCGCGAUGUUAAAAGUUGUGCGAAGGUAGCAUAAUAAUUUUCUUUUUAAAUGGAAGGUAGAAUGAAAGGGUUAACUAGAUAUCUGCUGUGUUGUUAUGUUUAGAGAAUUUUAUUGGGAGGUUAAAAAUCCUUCUAGAUUUAAAGGGACGACAAGACCCUGGGAGCUUGUAAAUAGUUAAAGCGUAUUUAUUUAGCUGGGGCGGUUAAUAAUAGAAACAUUGUUGUGUAAAACAUAUUGUAUGGUUUUAGUGAUCAUUUUUUGAGCAAGAAGUUUAAGCUACCCCAGGGAUAACAGCACAAUUAUUUCUGAGAGUUUAUCUAAGAGGUAGUUUGUGACCUCGAUGUUGAAUUAAGGAUGUCCUCUUGAAGGAGAGAGCCUGGAGGGAGAGUUUGUUCAACUCUUAAAAACUUACAUGAUUUGAGUUCAAACCGGUGCAAGCCAGGUUGGAUUCUAUCUUUUAAAUUUAAAAGGAUUGGAUUGUACGAAAGGACUUUCAAUUCACUAGUAUGAAUAGGGUACUUAAUUGG